This 78-nucleotide transfer RNA is filed under the name archaeon. RNAcentral describes it as "tRNA-Gly". It matches the Rfam family "tRNA". Rfam says of the family: Transfer RNA (tRNA) molecules are approximately 80 nucleotides in length. Their secondary structure includes four short double-helical elements and three loops (D, anti-codon, and T loops). RNAcentral also lists the same sequence under 1 other name. The record is from RNAcentral.
GCGCCGGUCGUCUAGCCUGGUCUAGGACAUCGGCCUGCCGCGCCGAAAACCCGGGUUCGAAUCCCGGCCGGCGCACCA